Molecule: ribosomal RNA, 479 nt
Filed under: uncultured organism
Description: partial 16S ribosomal RNA
Rfam family: Bacterial small subunit ribosomal RNA
Source: RNAcentral
CGUACACUCCUACGGCAGGCAGCAGUGGGGAAUUUUGGACAAUGGGCGAAAGCCUGAUCCAGCCAUGCCGCGUGCAGGAUGAAGGCCUUCGGGUUGUAAACUGCUUUUGUACGGAACGAAACGGCCUUUUCUAAUAAAGAGGGCUAAUGACGGUACCGUAAGAAUAAGCACCGGCUAACUACGUGCCAGCAGCCGCGGUAAUACGUAGGGUGCAAGCGUUAAUCGGAAUUACUGGGCGUAAAGCGUGCGCAGGCGGUUAUGUAAGACAGUUGUGAAAUCCCCGGGCUCAACCUGGUAACUGCAUCUGUGACUGCAUAGCUAGAGUACGGUAGAGGGGGAUGGAAUUCCGCGUGUAGCAGUGAAAUGCGUAGAUAUGCGGAGGAACACCGAUGGCGAAGGCAAUCCCCUGGACCUGUACUGACGCUCAUGCACGAAAGCGUGGGGAGCAAACAGGAUUAGAUACCCGAGUAGUCCCAUGA